Molecule: non-coding RNA, 77 nt
Organism: Podarcis lilfordi (Lilford's wall lizard)
Lineage: Eukaryota; Metazoa; Chordata; Lepidosauria; Squamata; Lacertidae
Source: the annotation of a GenBank genome assembly
GUUGAUGUGGGAACUCAAGUCAGUAAAGCAUGAGACUCUUAAUCUCAGGGUCAUGGGUUCAAGCCCCAUGUUUGGCA